AUUGAACGCUGGCGGUAUGCUUAACACAUGCAAGUCGAACGGUAACAGGCCUUCGGGCGCUGACGAGUGGCGGACGGGUGAGUAACGCGUAGGAAUCUGCCUCAUAGUGGGGGACAACGUGGGGAAACUCACGCUAAUACCGCAUACGCCCUACGGGGGAAAGCGGGGAUCUUCGGACCUCGCGCUAUGAGAUGAGCCUGCGUUAGAUUAGCUAGUUGGUAGGGUAAAGGCCUACCAAGGCGACGAUCUAUAGCUGGUCUGAGAGGACGAUCAGCCACACUGGGACUGAGACACGGCCCAGACUCCUACGGGAGGCAGCAGUGGAGAAUAUUGGACAAUGGCGAAAGCCUGAUCCAGCAAUGCCGCGUGAGUGAUGAAGGCC
Molecule: ribosomal RNA, 382 nt
Filed under: uncultured bacterium
Lineage: Bacteria
Description: bacterial SSU rRNA
Rfam family: Bacterial small subunit ribosomal RNA
Source: RNAcentral